CUCAAAGGAAUUGACGGGGACCCGCACAAGCGGUGGAUGAUGUGGUUUAAUUCGAUGCAACGCGAAAAACCUUACCCACCUUUGACAUGUACGGAACCCUUUGGAGACAGAGGGGUGCUCGAAAGAGAGCCGUAACACAGGUGCUGCAUGGCUGUCGUCAGCUCGUGUCGUGAGAUGUUGGGUUAAGUCCCGCAACGAGCGCAACCCUUGUCAUUAGUUGCUACGAAAGGGCACUCUAAUGAGACUGCCGGUGACAAGCCGGAGGAAGGUGGGGAUGACGUCAAGUCCUCAUGGCCCUUAUAGGUGGGGCUACACACGUCAUACAAUGGCUGGUACAGAGGGUUGCCAACCCGCGAGGGGGAGCCAAUCCCAUAAAACCAGUCGUAGUCCGGAUCGCAGUCUGCAACUCGACUGCGUGAAGUCGGAAUCGCUAGUAAUCGCGGAUCAGCAUGUCGCGGUGAAUACGUUCCCGGGUCUUGUACACACCGCCCGUCACACCAUGGGAGCGGG
Molecule: ribosomal RNA, 510 nt
Filed under: uncultured beta proteobacterium
Lineage: Bacteria; Pseudomonadati; Pseudomonadota; Betaproteobacteria
Description: bacterial SSU rRNA
Rfam family: Bacterial small subunit ribosomal RNA
Source: RNAcentral